AAAUAUGAAAGGAUCAGUUCUUGAAUCAAGGAGGUGAAAGAAAACCUUGAUAGGACAAAAAAAACAAAUGAACACACAUUUCAUUGAUGAUUAACCAAAAGGAAGAAAUUAAUUUUUCAACAAUCUGAUAAACACCAGAAAAAUCGAUUAUUCUUUUGAAUUUUAUAUAGGGGUCAUUGAAGAUGAACCACCAAAUAGGAUUACCUCAAAUAAGUCAAAGUAACACAUAAUUACAACAACUCAGCUGCAUAAUCCCGGAAAUUAAGCAACACUAACAACAUCAAAUCUCUAUGAUGGGAAUUAAAACAAAUCAAAUUACAAAAAGACUGAACCACAAUCUAAGAACUAGCAUAGGGGUCCAAGAUUACACAAAAAAGGUGAAAUAUUUAGAGUAACUAAGAUCUGGUUCAAACACAUUCUGAUUAAAAAUCUACCUUGUAUUGCAGAGAAUACAAUCCAUGAUCCUAAACCACGCUUCCCUUAGGCGAGGGUAAACCCUGAUGGUGUAUGUUCUUGUUUCUCUGACCAUAUCUUCCAUGGUUUCUACAAAGAGGUUUAAGCUUCUGAUUGGAGGAACAUAAAGAACCAAAGGAGCAGCAGAAAAAGCCACCGUGAAGAACAACUCAAGCAUAUUUUCUCUUUGGUUUUUCUGAGACACCCAACUGAGAAAAAUUAUAGAUUCAGAAACAAAGUUGAAAACUUUGGGUUUGAUAAGAAGAAGGGUAUUUGGAUUUAUGCUUUUUUAAGGUUUCUGAGAUCUAAAAGACUCAAUAUUGUUGACUCUAUGAAAGGUUGAGGAAGAAGAAAGAGUUAAAUAUAAAAAAAAAAAGAGAGGCAGAAAGAGAAAGAACGAGAGAGAGAAGCAAGUUCUGGAAAGUUAGUGAAGCCUGAACCAACCUGAGCAAAUAAAUGGAGAAUAAAAUAGCCUAAAAUGCAUAGUAGAGAUCAAGAAUGUAUUAUCGAUGAUGAUUAAUAUUCAUU
This 981-nucleotide long non-coding RNA is filed under the name Lupinus angustifolius (narrow-leaved blue lupine). RNAcentral's name for it is "long non-coding RNA (LANG_LNC001247)". Lineage: Eukaryota; Viridiplantae; Streptophyta; Magnoliopsida; Fabales; Fabaceae. The record is from RNAcentral.